CCUACGGGAGGCAGCAGUGGGGAAUAUUGGGCAAUGGGCGCAAGCCUGACCCAGCAACGCCGCGUGAAGGAAGAAGGCUUUCGGGUUGUAAACUUCUUUUCUGAGGGACGAAGGAAGUGACGGUACCUCAGGAAUAAGCCACGGCUAACUACGUGCCAGCCGCCGCUGUACUACGUAGGUGGCAAGCGUUAUCCGGAUUUAAUGGGUGGAAAGGGCGGGGAGGCGGGAAAGUAAGGCAGAUGUGAAAACUCAGGGCUCAACCUUGGGACUGCAUUUGAAACUGUUAUUCUUGAGUGCUGGAGAGGCAAGCGGAAUUCCGUGUGUAGCGGUGAAAUGCGUAGAGAUACGGAGGAACACCAGUGGCGAAGGCGGAUUGCUGGACAGUAACUGACGCUGAGGCGCGAAAGCGUGGGGAGCAAACAGGAUUAGAUACCCCAGUAGUC
This 443-nucleotide ribosomal RNA is filed under the name uncultured bacterium. RNAcentral's name for it is "partial 16S ribosomal RNA". It matches the Rfam family "Bacterial small subunit ribosomal RNA", at positions 338 to 795 of the family's 1533-position model. The record is from RNAcentral.